CCCUUUGAUACUCUGGGCGGAACGCGCGCUACACUGGUUUAUAUAACGUGUAAUUUGGACGAUAGUCUGUAUAAAUCACUAAUAUAAAACCGUGAAUGGGAUAGUUUAUUGCAACUUACAAACUUUAACUAGGAAUCCCUUGUAGAAGUAGUGAAUUAUACUGCUUCGAAUACGUCCCUGCCGAUUGUACACACCGCCCGUCGUUUCUUCCGACUGGUACUCAUUGUGAAUUGCGAGGAGAUUCUGUCAAAUCGUUGUAAAUGCUGGGUAUUGGAGGAAGAAAAAGUCGUAACA
RNAcentral lists this ribosomal RNA (294 nucleotides) under uncultured eukaryote. Its description in RNAcentral is "partial 18S ribosomal RNA". It matches the Rfam family "Eukaryotic small subunit ribosomal RNA", at positions 1470 to 1796 of the family's 1831-position model. The record is from RNAcentral.